ACCCACUGAUGAAACUUGAUUCUGCCAGAUGAAUUACUAUGAUAUUACAAUUUCCGUUCCACUUUUGUCUGAGGUU
Falco tinnunculus (common kestrel) is the source of this 76-nucleotide small nucleolar RNA. The record is from Ensembl. Lineage: Eukaryota; Metazoa; Chordata; Aves; Falconiformes; Falconidae.